GAUGAACGCUAGCUACAGGCUUAACACAUGCAAGUCGAGGGGCAGCAUGGUCUUAGCUUGCUAAGGCCGAUGGCGACCGGCGCACGGGUGAGUAACACGUAUCCAACCUGCCGUCUACUCUUGGACAGCCUUCUGAAAGGAAGAUUAAUACAAGAUGGCAUCAUGAGUCCGCAUGUUCACAUGAUUAAAGGUAUUCUGGUAGACGAUGGGGAUGCGUUCCAUUAGAUAGUAGGCGGGGUAACGGCCCACCUAGUCUUCGAUGGAUAGGGGUUCUGAGAGGAAGGUCCCCCACAUUGGAACUGAGACACGGUCCAAACUCCUACGGGAGGCAGCAGUGAGGAAUAUUGGUCAAUGGGCGCAGGCCUGAACCAGCCAAGUAGCGUGAAGGAUGACUGCCCUAUGGGUUGUAAACUUCUUUUAUAAAGGAAUAAAGUCGGGUAUGCAUACCCGUUUGCAUGUACUUUAUGAAUAAGGAUCGGCUAACUCCGUGCCAGCAGCCGCGGUAAUACGGAGGAUCCGAGCGUUAUCCGGAUUUAUUGGGUUUAAAGGGAGCGUAGAUGGAUGUUUAAGUCAGUUGUGAAAGUUUGCGGCUCAACCGUAAAAUUGCAGUUGAUACUGGAUAUCUUGAGUGCAGUUGAGGCAGGCGGAAUUCGUGGUGUAGCGGUGAAAUGCUUAGAUAUCACGAAGAACUCCGAUUGCGAAGGCAG
RNAcentral lists this ribosomal RNA (707 nucleotides) under uncultured Bacteroidales bacterium. RNAcentral describes it as "bacterial SSU rRNA". It matches the Rfam family "Bacterial small subunit ribosomal RNA", at positions 28 to 724 of the family's 1533-position model. The record is from RNAcentral. Lineage: Bacteria; Pseudomonadati; Bacteroidota; Bacteroidia; Bacteroidales.